CACCGCGGUUAUACGAGGGGCUCAAGUUGAUAUUUAUCGGCGUAAAGGGUGGUUAUGGAACAUAUAAACUAAAGCCGAACCUCCUGAAGGCUGUCAUAAGCGUACCAGGAGAAGAAGCCCAACUACGAAGGUGGCUUUAUAACCCCUGACCCCACGAGAGCUAUGGUA
This 168-nucleotide ribosomal RNA is filed under the name Rhinopias eschmeyeri (Eschmeyer's scorpionfish). Its description in RNAcentral is "partial 12S rRNA". Lineage: Eukaryota; Metazoa; Chordata; Actinopteri; Perciformes; Scorpaenidae. RNAcentral also lists the same sequence under 1 other name. The record is from RNAcentral.